RNAcentral lists this ribosomal RNA (301 nucleotides) under uncultured bacterium. Its description in RNAcentral is "partial 16S ribosomal RNA". It matches the Rfam family "Bacterial small subunit ribosomal RNA", at positions 509 to 807 of the family's 1533-position model. The record is from RNAcentral.
CAGCAGCCGCGGGAAUACGAAGGGUGCUAGCGUUGUUCGGAAUCACUGGGCGUAAAGCGCGCGUAGGCGGCGUAGCAAGUCAGAGGUGAAAGCCCGGGGCUCAACCCCGGAAUUGCCUUUGAAACUGCUAUGCUAGAGUGUCGGAGGGGAUAGCGGAAUUGCUAAUGUAGAGGUGAAAUUCGUAGAUAUUAGCAGGAACACCGGUGGCGAAGGCGGCUAUCUGGACGACAACUGACGCUGAGGCGCGAAAGCGUGGGGAUCAAACAGGAUUAGAUACCCCGGUAGUCCCUGUCUCUUAUAC